This is a non-coding RNA of Erythrobacter sp. SCN 62-14, 110 nucleotides long. The record is from Rfam. Lineage: Bacteria; Pseudomonadati; Pseudomonadota; Alphaproteobacteria; Sphingomonadales; Erythrobacteraceae.
AGACUAUCCCCGGGGAGCCUGCUGAGGCUGAGAGGUGGGUGUAAGCACCCCACGACCCGUCGAACCUGAACCUGUUAACACAGGCGGAGGGAGUGGGCAGGUCGCUUGGA